Non-coding RNA from Chrysemys picta bellii (western painted turtle), 662 nucleotides. The record is from RefSeq and is a predicted model, not a curated record. NCBI's taxonomy places the organism in Eukaryota, Metazoa, Chordata, Testudines, Emydidae.
UUUAAAGAUUUGCUCUUUGCCCUCACCUGCUUUUACAGUCCAACGGAUUUUGGCGGGCUUAUUUGUGUCUGCAGAGAGAAUUCUGAGGCCCCUCCCACGUUUCCUGAGUGCUCGUUUAUACAUUUGCUCUUUGCCCUCACCUGCUUUUACAGUCCAACGGAUUUUGGCGGGCUUAUUUGUGUCUGCAGAGAGGAUUCUGAGGCCCCACCCUUGUUUCCUGAGUGCUUGUUUAAACAUUUGCUCUUUGCCCUCACCUGCUUUUACAAUCCAAUGGAUUUUGGCGGGCUUCUUUGUGUCUGCAGAGAGAAUUCUGAGGUGUGUGACUGUCAUCUGAGUAGCAGUUGAAUCAGCAUUGCUGGAAAAGAAAUACAGUGAAUUUACAAGACAAUGUAUCAGAGUUGGAUGAAUUAUAUUGCAAUCACUUCACAAUGCAGCUAAGAAUCAAAGUAGUCUCCACCAUCAGCUUUCCAUUGCUUUUCAUCAUGAAAUGGUAUUGGGGUGAUUUUACUGUCACUGUGCAUGUUGCUCCUGCAGUUGUCUUGGUUGGACAAGCUGUGACAUUGUCCUGCCGUCUCAUAGGAAAGGUCCCCACUAACAUUCAAGUGCAUAUGUACAAACUGGAAAGGAACAAAAAUACGACGUUAUAUUUUUACAAUAGCACA